This 468-nucleotide ribosomal RNA is filed under the name uncultured bacterium. RNAcentral's name for it is "partial 16S ribosomal RNA". It matches the Rfam family "Bacterial small subunit ribosomal RNA", at positions 28 to 507 of the family's 1533-position model. The record is from RNAcentral.
GACGAACGCUGGCGGCGUGCUUAACACAUGCAAGUCGAACGGAAAGGCCCUGCUUUUGUGGGGUGCUCGAGUGGCGAACGGGUGAGUAACACGUGAGUAACCUGCCCUUGACUUUGGGAUAACUUCAGGAAACUGGGGCUAAUACCGGCUAGGAGCUCCUGCUGCAUGGUGGGGGUUGGAAAGUUUCGGCGGUUGGGGAUGGACUCGCGGCUUAUCAGCUUGUUGGUGGGGUAGUGGCUUACCAAGGCUUUGACGGGUAGCCGGCCUGGGAGGGUGACCGGCCACAUUGGGACUGAGAGACGGCCCAGACUCCUACGGGAGGCAGCAGUGGGGAAUAUUGCACAAUGGGCGGAAGCCUGAUGCAGCAACGCCGCGUGCGGGAUGACGGCCUUCGGGUUGUAAACCGCUUUCGCCUGUGACGAAGCGUGAGUGACGGUAAUGGGUAAAGAAGCACCGGCUAACUACGUG